CUUACCUGCGGAGUUCUGAU
RNAcentral lists this small RNA (20 nucleotides) under Arabidopsis thaliana (thale cress). RNAcentral describes it as "ATSL177560". Lineage: Eukaryota; Viridiplantae; Streptophyta; Magnoliopsida; Brassicales; Brassicaceae. The record is from RNAcentral.